This 238-nucleotide ribosomal RNA is filed under the name uncultured bacterium. RNAcentral's name for it is "partial 16S ribosomal RNA". It matches the Rfam family "Bacterial small subunit ribosomal RNA", at positions 96 to 334 of the family's 1533-position model. The record is from RNAcentral.
CGGCGGACGGGUGAGUAACGCGUGGAUAACCUGCCUCACACAGGGGGAUAACAGUUAGAAAUGACUGCUAAUACCGCAUAAGCGCACAGGACCGCAUGGUCCGGUGUGAAAAACUCCGGUGGUGUGAGAUGGACCCGCGUUUGAUUAGCUAGUUGGUGGGGUAACGGCCUACCAAGGCGACGAUCAAUAGCCGACCUGAGAGGGUGACCGGCCACAUUGGGACUGAGACACGGCCCAA